GACGAACGCUGGCGGCGUGCUUAACACAUGCAAGUCGAACGGAAAGGCCCUGCUUUUGUGGUGUGCUCGAGUGGCGAACGGGUGAGUAACACGUGCGUAACCUGCCCUUGACUUUGGGAUAACUUCAGGAAACUGGGGCUUAUACCGGAUAGGAGCUCCUGCUGCAUGGUGGGGGUUGGAAAGUUUCGGCGGUUGGGGAUGGACUCGCGGCUUAUCAGCUUGUUGGUGGGGUAGUGGCUUACCAAGGCUUUGACGGGUAGCCGGCCUGAGAGGGUGACCGGCCACAAUGGGACUGAGAUACGGCCCAGACUCCUACGGGAGGCAGCAGUGGGGAAUAUUGCACAAUGGGCGGAAGCCUGAUGCAGCAACGCCGCGUGAGGGAUGACGGCCUUCGGGUUGUAAACCUCUUUCGCCUGUGACGAAGCGUGAGUGACGGUAAUGGGUAAAGAAGCACCGGCUAACUACGUG
Molecule: ribosomal RNA, 468 nt
Filed under: uncultured bacterium
Lineage: Bacteria
Description: partial 16S ribosomal RNA
Rfam family: Bacterial small subunit ribosomal RNA
Source: RNAcentral